CAAGUCGAGCGAUGAAGUUUCUUCGGACAUGGAUUAGCGGCGAACGGGUGAGGAACACGUGAAGAAUCUGCCCUCCACUUUGGGAUAACACCGGGAAACCGGUGCUAAUACCGAAUAUUGAAACAUAAGUGGCAUCACUGAGUUUUGAAAGAAUUUCGGUGGAGGAUGACUUCGCGGCCUAUCAGCUAGUUGGUGAGGUAAUGGCUCACCAAGGCAACGACGGGUAGCCGGCCUGAGAGGGCGACCGGCCACACUGGGACUGAGACACGGCCCAGACUCCUACGGGAGGCAGCAGUGGGGAAUAUUGGGCAAUGGAGGAAACUCUGACCCAGCGACGCCGCGUGCGGGAUGAAGGCCUUCGGGUUGUAAACCGCUUUCAGUAGGGAAGAAGCGAAAGUGACGGUACCUACAAAAGAAGCACCGGCUAACUAUGUGCCAGCAGCCGCGGUAAUACAUAGGGUGCAAGCGUUGUCCGGAAUUAUUGGGCGUAAAGAGCUCGUAGGUCGUUUGUUACGUCGGAUGUGAAAACCUGAGGCUCAACCUCAGGCCUGCAUUCGAUACGGGCAAACUAGAGUUUGGUAGGGGAGACUGGAAUUCCUGGUGUAGCGGUGGAAUGCGCAGAUAUCAGGAGGAACACCAAUGGCGAAGGCAGGUCUCUGGGCCAAUACUGACACUGAGGAGCGAAAGUCUGGGGAGCGAACAGGAUUAGAUACCCUGGUAGUCCAGACCGUAAACGGUGGGCACUAGUUGUGGGAACCUUCCACGGUUUCUGCGACGCAGCUAACGCAUUAAGUGCCCCGCCUGGGGAGUACGAUCGCAAGAUUAAAACUCAAAGGAAUUGACGG
Molecule: ribosomal RNA, 845 nt
Filed under: uncultured bacterium
Lineage: Bacteria
Description: bacterial SSU rRNA
Rfam family: Bacterial small subunit ribosomal RNA
Source: RNAcentral